AGAUGUACCGGUAAGGAGCGUUGGAGCGGAUAGAAGUGAGCAUGCAGGCAUGAGUAGCGAUAAUUGAGGUGAGAAUCCUCAACGCCGAAAACCCAAGGUUUCCUACGCGAUGCUCGUCAUCGUAGGGUUAGUCGGGACCUAAGUCGAGUCCGAAAGGGGUAGACGAUGGCAAAUUGAUUAAUAUUUCAAUACCAACAUAUAAGCGCGAUGUGGGGACGCAUAGAGUUAAUCGAGGUCACUGAUGGAAUAGUGGCUCGAAGGACGUAGGCUGUUAAGUAGGCAAAUCCGCUUAACAUUAGGCCGAGAUCUUACAGGCUCUUGACACUCUUCGGAGGAGAUGGAGAAUCGAUGAUACUGUCGUGCCAAGAAAAGCCACUAAGUUUAUUAUAUGUUGCCCGUACCGUAAACCGACACAGGUGGGUGGGAUGAGUAUUCUAAGGCGCGUGGAAGAACCCUGGUUAAGGAACUCUGCAAACUAGCACCGUAUCUUCGGUAUAAGGUGUGCCUACUUUUGUAUAUGAACUUGCUUCAAAAAGCGAAAGAGGUUGCAACAAAGAGUCCCUCCCGACUGUUUACCAAAAACACAGCACUUUGCUAACACGUAAGUGGAUGUAUAAGGUGUGACGCCUGCCCGGUGCUCGAAGGUUAACUGAUGAUGUCAGCGCAAGCGAAGCAUUUGAUUGAAGCCCGAGUAAACGGCGGCCGUAACUAUAACGGUCCUAAGGUAGCGAAAUUCCUUGUCGGUUAAAUACCGACCUGCAUGAAUGGCGUAACGAGAUGGGAGCUGUCUCAACCAGGGAUCCAGUGAAAUUGUAGUGGAGGUGAAAAUUCCUCCUACCCGCGGAAAGACGGAAAGACCCCGUGCACCUUUACUACAGCUUGACACUGUAGCUUGGAUAUUCAUGUGCAGGAUAGGUGGGAGGCUAUGAUGACUAGACGCCAGUAGAGUCGGAGCCAUCCUUGAGAUACCACCCUUGAAUAUUUGAGUUACUAACUGCGUACAAUUAUCUUGUAUCAGGACAAUGUCUGGUGGGUAGUUUGACUGGGGCGGUCGCCUCCUAAAAAGUAACGGAGGCUUACAAAGGUUAGUUCAAAGCGGAUGGAAAUCGCUUGUUGAGUAUAAUGGCAUAAACUAGCUUGACUGUGAGACAUACAAGUCGAACAGAGACGAAAGUCGGUCAUAGUGAUCCGGUGGUUCUGUGUGGAAGGGCCAUCGCUCAAAGGAUAAAAGGUACGCCGGGGAUAACAGGCUGAUCUCCCCCAAGAGCUCACAUCGACGGGGAGGUUUGGCACCUCGAUGUCGGCUCAUCGCAUCCUGGGGCUGUAGUCGGUCCCAAGGGUAUGGCUGUUCGCCAUUUAAAGCGGUACGCGAGCUGGGUUCAGAACGUCGUGAGACAGUUCGGUCCCUAUCUUCCGUGGGCGUAGGAAAGUUGAAGAGAUUUGUCCCUAGUACGAGAGGACCGGGAUGAACGUACCACUGGUGUACCAAUUGUUCUGCCAAGAGCAUCGUUGGGUAGCUACGUACGGAUGUGAUAAGAGCUGAAAGCAUCUAAGCUCGAAGCCAACUCUAAGAUUAACUUUCCCUGAAGUUCCCAGCAAGACUAGCUGGUUGAUAGGCUGGAUGUGUAAGCGUUGUAAGACGUUUAGCUGACCAGUACUAAUAGAACGUUUGGCUUAUUUUA
This 1682-nucleotide ribosomal RNA is filed under the name Aliarcobacter butzleri. RNAcentral's name for it is "partial 23S ribosomal RNA". It matches the Rfam family "Bacterial large subunit ribosomal RNA", at positions 1254 to 2925 of the family's 2925-position model. Lineage: Bacteria; Pseudomonadati; Campylobacterota; Epsilonproteobacteria; Campylobacterales; Arcobacteraceae. The record is from RNAcentral.